Molecule: ribosomal RNA, 484 nt
Filed under: uncultured bacterium
Lineage: Bacteria
Description: partial 16S ribosomal RNA
Rfam family: Bacterial small subunit ribosomal RNA
Source: RNAcentral
AUUGAACGCUGGCGGCAGGCCUAACACAUGCAAGUCGAGCGGAUGAAGGGAGCUUGCUCCUGGAUUCAGCGGCGGACGGGUGAGUAAUGCCUAGGAAUCUGCCUGGUAGUGGGGGAUAACGUCCGGAAACGGGCGCUAAUACCGCAUACGUCCUGAGGGAGAAAGUGGGGGAUCUUCGGACCUCACGCUAUCAGAUGAGCCUAGGUCGGAUUAGCUAGUUGGUGGGGUAAAGGCCUACCAAGGCGACGAUCCGUAACUGGCCUGAGGGGAUGAUCAGUCACACUGGAACUGAGACACGGUCCAGACUCCUACGGGAGGCAGCAGUGGGGAAUAUUGGACAAUGGGCGAAAGCCUGAUCCAGCCAUGCCGCGUGUGUGAAGAAGGUCUUCGGAUUGUAAAGCACUUUAAGUUGGGAGGAAGGGCAGUAAGUUAAUACCUUGCUGUUUUGACGUUACCAACAGAAUAAGCACCGGCUAACUUCGUG